UAUCAGAGCCGGUGUCUCUCCGCGUGCGCUCUCUUUGUUAGCUGCCCCUUUGUUGCCUCAUCGAUGGCUCUUCUCCGUGUGAUUAUCCCCCGAUGUACUGUUGUAAGUAUAACGCAGUAUCACCGCCUGAGAGAGAUGAUGAUCGCUCUCGGCCACACCAGAGCGCGCGAGCACAGAGACUCAGUGAGAGAAAAAAGCAGAAGAGCGCACUAUACGCAAACCGUCUCUCCGCGCGUGUUGGGAGACUCAUUAACACAGGUGGCGAGACAUGUUUCCCGUCUAGAGAGCGGACAGAGAGCGCAACACAAUAAAUGAGAGAGAUCUCACUCAUGAGGCACCACAGUCUACACUCUAUGAUAUGCCCAAGAUUACCACAAGCUAUAAUACGUCUCUAUAUAGGGAAAGCUCGCACGCAGGUCUGCACAGUCGGGGGCCCGGGGAUGAGAUUAUAACAUGGAAAAAAAAAAUAGGACGUUUGGUUAUAUUUUUUUUGUUUAUAGGACCGCCGUAAUGUUUUAUAGGGACAGGGGGGGGCAUCAGUAUUCAGGUGUGAGGGGUGAAAUUUUGAGAUAUUGAGAAGACUAUCUUCUGAGAACGCAUUUCCCAAGGAUGUUUUCAUUAAUCAGGAACGAAAGUUAGGGGAUAGAAGGCGAUCAGACCCCGUUGUAGUCUUAACCAUAAACUAUGCCGUAUAGGGAUCAGGCAAGGAUAUUUUGACUUGCUUGGCACCUUAUGAGAAAUCAAAGUUCUUGGGUUCCGGGGGGAGUAUGGUCGCAAGGCUGAAACUUAAAGGAAUUGACGGAAGGGCACCACCAGGAGUGAGCCUGCGGCUUAAUUUGACUCAACACGGGGAAACUCACCAGGUCCAGAAAUCUAGA
RNAcentral lists this ribosomal RNA (878 nucleotides) under uncultured fungus. Its description in RNAcentral is "partial 18S ribosomal RNA". It matches the Rfam family "Eukaryotic small subunit ribosomal RNA", at positions 639 to 1236 of the family's 1831-position model. Lineage: Eukaryota; Fungi. The record is from RNAcentral.